UACGAAGGGGGCUAGCGUUGUUCGGAUUUACUGGGCGUAAAGCGCACGUAGGCGGAUCUUUAAGUCAGAGGUGAAAUCCCAAGGCUCAACCUUGGAACUGCCUUUGAUACUGAGGAUCUUGAGUACGGGAGAGGUGAGUGGAACUGCGAGUGUAGAGGUGAAAUUCGUAGAUAUUCGCAAGAACACCAGUGGCGAAGGCGGCUCACUGGCCCGUUACUGACGCUGAGGCACGAAAGCGUGGGGAGCAAACAGG
This 253-nucleotide ribosomal RNA is filed under the name uncultured bacterium. RNAcentral describes it as "partial 16S ribosomal RNA". It matches the Rfam family "Bacterial small subunit ribosomal RNA", at positions 524 to 776 of the family's 1533-position model. The record is from RNAcentral.